CAAUAGCGUAUAUUUAAGUUGUUGCAGUUAAAAAGCUCGUAGUUGGAUUUCGGGUGGGAUGCAGCGGUCUCGCAUUGCGUUUGUACUGCUGCAGCCCUCCUUCUUGCCGGGGGCGGCCUCUCGGACUUCACUGUCUGGGGGUCAGAAUCGGCGAUGUUACUUUGAGUAAAUUAGAGUGUUCAAAGCAAGCUUACGCUCUGAAUAUAAUAGCAUGGGAUAACACGACAGGACUCUGGCCUAUCGUGUUGGUCUAUAGGACCAGAGUAAUGAUUAAGAGGGACAGUCGGGGGCAUUCGUAUUCCGUUGUCAGAGGUGAAAUUCUUGGAUUUACGGAAGACGAACAUCUGCGAAAGCAUUUGCCAAGGAUGUUUUCAUUGA
Molecule: ribosomal RNA, 378 nt
Filed under: uncultured eukaryote
Lineage: Eukaryota
Description: partial 18S ribosomal RNA
Rfam family: Eukaryotic small subunit ribosomal RNA
Source: RNAcentral